GACGGAGGAUGCAAGUGUUAUCCGGAAUCACUGGGCGUAAAGCGUCUGUAGGUCGUUCAAUAAGUCAACUGUUAAAUCUUGAGGCUCAACUUCAAAAUCGCAGUCGAAACUAUUAAACUAGAGUAUAGUAGGGGUAAAGGGAAUUUCCAGUGGAGCGGUGAAAUGCGUAGAGAUUGGAAAGAACACCAAUGGCGAAAGCACUUUACUGGGCCGACACUGACACUGAGAGACGAAAGCUAGGGGAGCGAAUGGG
This 253-nucleotide ribosomal RNA is filed under the name uncultured bacterium. RNAcentral's name for it is "partial 16S ribosomal RNA". It matches the Rfam family "Bacterial small subunit ribosomal RNA", at positions 524 to 776 of the family's 1533-position model. The record is from RNAcentral.